Long non-coding RNA from Apis dorsata (giant honeybee), 581 nucleotides. RefSeq lists it as uncharacterized. The record is from RefSeq and is a predicted model, not a curated record. The transcript is spliced from 4 exons. NCBI's taxonomy places the organism in Eukaryota, Metazoa, Arthropoda, Insecta, Hymenoptera, Apidae.
UUUUGAAUUUGGUACCUAAUAAGAGAGGAAAUGAUUAAAAUUUAUAUAUUAAAUACGAGAAGAUUAAUAAUGCAUUUCUUAUAAUAAUAUUUACCCACAUACUGCAAACAUUCCACUAUUAUGAUGAAUUAUAAGAAUAUACAACCAAUCAAAAAUAAUUACGAUUAUCACACAAACAAAUGAGCUCCAAACUAAUUGAAAAUAUACGUAAAAAAAAUAAUCUUCGUGGUUAAAAAUCAAAUAAUUAACUCUAUAUAGUUGUUGUCUUGGUCGAGUUUCAUUUAAAGGAUAAACAAUGUCCAAAAUAGGAAAAAUUAAUGGUACGAAAAAAAAAAUUAUCAUAGCGACCAAUAAUGUAUCUGAAAAAGAGGAAAAGAUCAAUCUGAUAAAUGCAGUUACAUUCAUGUACGAUAAUAUUCGAUGUGUAACAAUAAGAAAAUGACUAUACAAAACAGCUGUAUUGGCGUCUGCCAUUUAUGCUUAAAAUCGAAGAUCCAUGAUUAUCUUGAAAUAUUGAUUGCUUGCAAUAUGGUGCUUACUAAACGAAUCAGUGAAAAAUUGUUAUUUGCGAUGGAUAAUAU